RNAcentral lists this ribosomal RNA (435 nucleotides) under uncultured bacterium. Its description in RNAcentral is "partial 16S ribosomal RNA". It matches the Rfam family "Bacterial small subunit ribosomal RNA", at positions 29 to 507 of the family's 1533-position model. The record is from RNAcentral.
AACGAACGCUGGCGGCAUGCCUAACACAUGCAAGUCGAACGAUUGCCUUCGGGUGAUAGUGGCGCACGGGUGCGUAACGCGUUGGAAUCUGCCCUUAGGUUCGGAAUAACAGCUGGAAACGGCUGCUAAUACCGGAUGAUAUCGCGAGAUCAAAGAUUUAUCGCCUGAGGAUGAGCCCGCGUUGGAUUAGGUAGUUGGUGGGGUAAAGGCCUACCAAGCCGACGAUCCAUAGCUGGACUGAGAGGAUGAUCAGCCACACUGUGACUGAGACACGGCCCAGACUCCUACGGGAGGCAGCAGUGGGGAAUAUUGGAAAAUGGGCGCAAGCAUGAUCCAGUAAUGCCGCGUGAGUGAUGAAGGCACUAGGGUUGUAAAGCUCUUUUACACGGGAAGAUAAUGACUGUACCGGGAGAAUAAGCCCCGGCUAACUCCGUG